UGCUAAUCCGGAGCUAAUACCGGAUAAUCCUUUCCCUCACAUGAGGGAAAGCUGAAAGACGGUUUCGGCUGUCACUUACAGAUGGGCCCGCGGCGCAUUAGCUAGUUGGUGAGGUAACGGCUCACCAAGGCAACGAUGCGUAGCCGACCUGAGAGGGUGAUCGGCCACACUGGGACUGAGACACGGCCCAGACUCCUACGGGAGGCAGCAGUAGGGAAUCUUCCGCAAUGGACGAAAGUCUGACGGAGCAACGCCGCGUGAACGAUGAAGGCUUUCGGGUCGUAAAGUUCUGUUGUCAGGGAAGAACAAGUACCGGAGUAACUGCCGGUACCUUGACGGUACCUGACCAGAAAGCCACGGCUAACUACGUGCCAGCAGCCGCGGUAAUACGUAGGUGGCAAGCGUUGUCCGGAAUUAUUGGGCGUAAAGCGCGCGCAGGCGGUUCCUUAAGUCUGAUGUGAAAGCCCCCGGCUCAACCGGGGAGGGUCAUUGGGAAACUGGGGGAACUUGAGUGCAGAAGAGGAGAGCGGAAUUCCCCCUUGUAGCGGGUGAAAUGCGUAGAAGAUGUGGAGGACCCCCAUUGGCCGAAGGCCGGUUCUUUGGUCUGUAAUCGACGUUGAGGCCCCAAAGCGUGGGGAGCAAACAG
This 646-nucleotide ribosomal RNA is filed under the name Mesobacillus boroniphilus. RNAcentral's name for it is "bacterial SSU rRNA". It matches the Rfam family "Bacterial small subunit ribosomal RNA", at positions 150 to 775 of the family's 1533-position model. The record is from RNAcentral. Lineage: Bacteria; Bacillati; Bacillota; Bacilli; Caryophanales; Bacillaceae.